This 232-nucleotide unclassified non-coding RNA is filed under the name Hevea brasiliensis (rubber tree). Lineage: Eukaryota; Viridiplantae; Streptophyta; Magnoliopsida; Malpighiales; Euphorbiaceae. The record is from RNAcentral.
AUCUUCCUCCUCACAAAUUACGUUUUUUCUCCCGAUGGCCUCGUUUUGGAGUUCCCAGAAUUCCCAGAUCAGGCAAUUUGUCAUUGGACAGAGUGAUGACAGAAUUCUUCCUUCGUUUAGAUGCUUCACCCAUUCGUAUAAAACAUAUGCCAUUAGAUGAUGAUGAUCCAGCAAAAGGAUUUACCUUUAAUAUGUCAAAGUUGAAAUGUGAAAUCUGUUUCAGUCGGGGUAA